This 546-nucleotide ribosomal RNA is filed under the name uncultured bacterium. RNAcentral describes it as "bacterial SSU rRNA". It matches the Rfam family "Bacterial small subunit ribosomal RNA", at positions 777 to 1319 of the family's 1533-position model. The record is from RNAcentral.
AAUAGAUACCCCGGUAGUCCACGCCGUAAACGAUGAGUGCUAAGUGUUAGAGGGUUUCCGCCCCUUAGUGCUGCAGCUAACGCAUUAAGCACUCCGCCUGGGGAGUACGGUCGCAAGACUGAAACUCAAAGGAAUUGACGGGGGGCCCGCACAAGCGGUGGAGCAUGUGGUUUAAUUCGAAGCAACGCGAAGAACCUUACCAGGUCUUGACAUCCCACUGACCGCUAUGGAGACAUAGUUUUCCCUUCGGGGACAGUGGUGACAGGUGGUGCAUGGUUGUCGUCAGCUCGUGUCGUGAGAUGUUGGGUUAAGUCCCGCAACGAGCGCAACCCUUGAUCUUAGUUGCCAUCAUUUAGUUGGGCACUCUAAGGUGACUGCCGGUGACAAACCGGGAGGAAGGUGGGGAUGACGUCAAAUCAUCAUGCCCCGUUAUGACCUGGGCUACACACGUGCUACAAUGGACGGUACAAACGGUUGCCAACCGCGAGGGGAGCUAAUCCGAUAAAACUCGUUCUCAGUUCGGAUUGUAGGCUGCAACUCGCCUAC